RNAcentral lists this transfer RNA (69 nucleotides) under Cerambycidae sp. 6 KM-2017. RNAcentral's name for it is "tRNA-Gln". It matches the Rfam family "tRNA". From Rfam's summary of the family: Transfer RNA (tRNA) molecules are approximately 80 nucleotides in length. Their secondary structure includes four short double-helical elements and three loops (D, anti-codon, and T loops). The record is from RNAcentral. Lineage: Eukaryota; Metazoa; Arthropoda; Insecta; Coleoptera; Cerambycidae.
UAUAUUUUAGUAUAGGGUGUACAUUAGUUUUUGACGCUAAAAGAGGUUGUUUAAUUCAACUAAAUAUAA